GGUUUUCUGCAGUGAAGAGAAAAUACAAACACAUACACUUUUAUGAGAUUCAGCUGUUUCAGCAAUUUCUUUCCAUAAUCAAUUCAAUCAAAUAAACAGCCCUAUCAGAUUAAUUUAACUCUAUUCAACAAAUAUUAAUUACACUGUGAUCAACAAAAUAGAUCAAGUCCCUGAAUGGAAGGAAGAUCUAUUCUACUGGGAUAUACAAACAGAUUAACCUAUGAAGAAAACUGAAGCAAGACAAGGUGAGAAGGAUGACAAGAGAUGCUAUUUGGAUGGAAAAGUCUGGGAAAACAUCUCUGUAGAGUUGUUACUUUAGCAAAGGCCUGAAUAAUGUAAGGAAGGGAGCCAUGGAAACCCCGGAACUGGGAGAAGAGUGUUCUAAUUAGAAGGAAAGAAGGAAAUGCAAAGACCCAAAGUGGGAAUGGGCUCAGUACAUCAAAAGACCAGCAAGGUGUGUGGCUGGAACAGAGUGAGCAACAGGAAGAGUGGUAGGAAAUGAUGAUAAAGUGGCUACCGGGGACCACACAUAGGACUUCAAAGGCCAUGGGAAGAAUUUUGGACUUUGUUCUGGGUGUAAAACAAUGUUGUUUUGAACAGGAGUGUGUUCUUGUAUCACUUUGGCUGCUGUGUGGCUAACUUUAGAAAGGGCAAAAAGGAAUCAGGGAGACAAGAUUAUCCCAGUAAUUCAACUAAGAAAUAAGGGUAGCUUGGUCUACAGUAUCUAGGGGUUUGUUAAAAACCAUUCACUCCUUCACAGUGGUGACUAACCUGGCUACACUCAGAGUCCUGCACUAAAAGACAAUGUGAACCAUUUGAAAUCAGAAGACUCCAAGCCUAAGGACAACAGUCAACAUGGUAUUGAGGUGGCACAGCAGAAGAACAAAGAAAAAUAGGUCAUGGUUGGCAUCGUUGGUCUGUCUGAACUACUACUCCCAGAACUACUCUACAUGUGGAAUUCUAAAUGAGUGUGAAAAAAUUAUUUAAAUGUAUUCCCAAUAGAAGACGCUGCCUCUGCUGUCAAGAUAUAAUGUUUAAAUAAUGUUUACACUUGGAAGUUCUUUACUUCCAAAUCAGACCUUCACUCCUUCAACCCACAGCACCCGUCUCCACCACCACCACCACACCUUCUCCAACACCACCACUCCUUGGAAGCGACAAUCCUGUGUCAUCUGACCUCUGCAUGCAGCCCUGAUCCUGCUCACGACUCACCAAGAUCUCCUUUCCCUUGACUUCCAGGAACCACAGACUACUAGGAAAGGGACGAGCUGGAGCAGGGAAUAAAAGGAGGCCUCCAGAUUCAGCCACUCUGUUAAUACUACUCACAGGUAAUUCAUAUAGACUAGAUAAAAGUAUACCUAGAGGGAUCCGCUUUCCCAACUGAUGGUAAAAGACUGAUAUGUGAUUUGAGCUAACCUCAGAAGCAAACCUCUGACAUAAUUCUGGAGAAUGUGGCCGCCAGAAAGCACAGGAAGCAUCUGUUCGUAGUGAAGCUGGUGGCUACUCUAUUUUGUGCAUACUGAGAGCAGGAUCAUCACCACUACCUUUUCUUCCACUCAUCUUCCCCUCAGGACUUCAAAAUAGACUAUUAGGAUAAGAUGGAAACAAAGCUUCAAAGUUCAUUAAUUUGAAAUAAGACUUGUGCAUCUUUCCUUCAACCAUAUCAGAUACAAUAUUCUGGGGUUAAUCCUCAAAAAAUAUUUUAAAUAUUGCUACAUUAUUCAUUUUCUUUUCCAGUUGAAGAUUAUCUUCAAAUAUGGAAACUAUUUAAUGAAGAUAUAAUUUAUCAAAAUAAGUUUGACUUCCCUCCUGAGCUUGAUCAGCUAGCAGGCACUAAUAGCAGAAAAGCGCACAGCUUAAACCACCAGUUGUGAAAGCUCCCCUUUUCAACAUCUUAGGCAGAUGCUGCUACUGACACACGCAAUGGGUGUAAGAAGAAACCAAGAAAGGGGAAAACAAAAAAGAGCCUAACAUGUUUAACAUGCAGCUGAGAUACCACUCUGCAGUCUACAGAUCAGCUGCAACACAGAAUGAACAGAAACUAAGGCCUCAGCUAACCAACGAUACUGUAAUCUUUCUUCUUGAGUAUGGCCAAAAGAAAAUAUUUGUUUCAUUUAUUGUAUGCAAAACCUAAAAAUUAUUCUAUUUUCCCAAUGAACCUAAAGAAAAAUAUAAAAUGUUCCCAUGUCAGAGUCUGUAGCCUUCUGAACAAAGUUUGAUGACCCACAAAUGCUAAUUUCAUAGCAAAUGCUACUAGGCAGAUCUUCUGACAUACAGAAAUUCAAAACCUCCUGUACUAACUAGAUAAAACUUCGCAGUAAUGAGGUAGAGACAGAAAAACUUGGUUAAAAAAAAAAUUUGUCUCACCUUCUAACAAAUAUUUCAUGCUUUGAGUAGUCAAUGAAUACAAAGGCACUAUGGUCAGGACAGGCAGGAAAGAGCCAUGUACACUUACACACGCACUUUCAGGGAACAGCUAUGAGAGCUCUAGGAUUUUAUUUUGUCCUGAUUAUACUGACACAUGAUUAAGAAGAAAUUUCAUAUUCAGCACAUAAGCAGUUUUUCUUUUUACAUAAUUGAAAACUAGUUUGCUGCUAUACCUACUGAAUGACAAUUGAAAGACAAUACUAACCAUAUAAAAUGAAUAAAAUAUGUGUAGAAUAUUGGAAGGAAAAGUAAGCUUCCUGAAAAAAAGACUUCAGUAUAUAUGAUUAGUCUAAAAGAAAAUCCAACCUUUGAAUUCAAAUAGCAUAACAAAGACAAAAAUGAAUCUAUAAGCAGAAAGAUAGAAAAGUGGAAAGCUUUUGCACAUAAAAAUGUUGUUUUCAGUAUCUUUUCUCAAACAGAUUUCUCAAACACAGACUCAAGAAUAGUGUACCAUAAAAAGCAGUGCUAAGUAUGACAAAAGCCAACUUCAUUAUGAUAAAGUAUUUUGCAAAUUACAAUCCAUAGGCUAGAGAAGAAAAAUUUAACAUGCUUAACUCAUGAUUUUAAUUUCUAGAAAUAUGCUAUUAACUUCAGCUAGAUCAUUAGUGGAAAAAAAAUCGUUUUUUUCUAAGUCCGCAAAAAAAAAUAGGGAAUAUGUUUUAAAGGUAGACCAUGUAACUAUCCAAACUAGGGCACUUUUGAGACCAUAAGGGGGCACUAUUCACAGCAACAAGUAUAAAUCAGGACUAUUUCAGAUAAAACAAGAUACAUAACUACUCUAUAUAAAGGUGAGGAAAUUUACAGAUUCUGUUGUCGAGUUAAAAUGUUUUUAGUUUCCAGGAAUUACUGACAUCAAUUUGUUUGGCAUCUUCUUUAUGUUUGGAAGAAAAUGAUGUAUGAAAUUUGUGUAAGUGGCAGAAUUAAUGGGCCAUAUAGAAGAGGCUAAGCAACAACCCUCUGGCCCUCCAGCUAAAGAGGUGCUCUGGUUUUGCAUUCCAUAGUCGCAGUUAUUUGGACUCUCCUUCAAGAUCUGACAAUUUCCUUGUAACUGACAGGAAAAAAGGCAGUUGGGGAUCAAGAUAGCUGGAAAUAGUUAAAAGAUAUUAAACCUAUUACCUAGCCAAAUUAUCAACCAACCACAGAUCACUGUACCCUCUCUAAAAAAUACUUUAUCUUCAAUUUUUAACCUACUAGAAUUUCAAGAACUGCUUAUAAGAAAGUCACAUAUCCAAGUUCAUAAACAGCAUUCUCACGCCAUUUCUACACUACUAGUGAAGCAUUAUUCCAUGAUCUAAUUUUCUUCAUUGAAUUUCCUAUAAUUUUCCUCACUGAAUUAUCAAGAUAAUAGUAAUAUAGUAAAAUAAAAGCUAGAGCAUUUACAUUAAGUGCCACAAACUGUUGUUCUAAGCACAUUGCAGAUACACACACACACACACUCAAUCAUCACAAGAAGCCUGAAAGCUGUGAUUAUUGAAGUGGUUAUUGAAGAGUGGAGGGUGUGAGUUCUGGAGCCAGAAGGCCUGGAUUCCAAUCCCAGCUUCACUAGCUGUAGCAUCCUUGGGGUAAGUGACCUAAACUACCUGUGUCUCAGUGCUAUCAUCUGUAAAGUGAAGAUAAUAACUAACUCAUAGGGUGAAUGUGAGUCUUAAAACGAUACACGUAAAGAUCUUAGAACAGCUCGGCUCCUGAGUAUCAGUAAUGAUCAUUAUCUUCAUAUCAUAUUUGCCUCAGAUAAAGAAACUGAGGCAAAUUUGUUAAACUACUUUUCUGGGGUCAGAAAGCUAGGAAGUGGCAAAGUCAAGAUUCAGACCUAUAGUCUGGGUCUGCAGUCCAGGCUCUUAAUCACUGUUACACUGACUCCAAAGACAUCUUGCCCAUUGUUUCAAACCAUCAAUGGCAGGUUUCUCUGUAUUCUGAAAAGAAAUGUUUUAAGAACCAUGCUAUUGCCACAACCAAAGUACAAAGACAUGAAGCACUCACUGCUACCCACAUCUAAGUGACAUUUAACACUGCAGGUCCUACCCCAAAACCUGGAGCCAUUUCCAGCCCCCAGCUGCUCUAGAGACAGGGAUUAUGGUUUCAUACCCAAAACUGCCCUAGAUAUUCCAACCAGUGGGUCUCAAAGAUCUUCUGAAAACUCAGAACAUGUCAGUGCUGGCAAGUACAGAAAUAGAUCAGAGGAGAGUCUAGCCCCCUUCCUACACUGUUUCUCCUUCAACAGCAAAUUCUAAUGGAGGCAGGCUUUGCUGUUCCUUUACUUCAUUUCUGAUAGAAUAUUUUAUUCAGAAAGAAUUCAAAGGCAAUGAAAGAUCACCUUACCUU
This is a non-coding RNA of Callithrix jacchus (white-tufted-ear marmoset), 4749 nucleotides long. The record is from RefSeq and is a predicted model, not a curated record. NCBI's taxonomy places the organism in Eukaryota, Metazoa, Chordata, Mammalia, Primates, Cebidae.